UACGUAGGGAGCAAGCGUUGUCCGGAAUCAUUGGGCGUAAAGCGCGCGUAGGCGGACCUGCAAGUCGGGGGUGAAAGCCCGAGGCUCAACCUCGGAACUGCCUUCGAUACUGCGGGUCUCGAGUCCGGGAGAGGUGAGUGGAAUUCCUAGUGUAGAGGUGAAAUUCGUAGAUAUUAGGAAGAACACCAGUGGCGAAGGCGGCUCACUGGCCCGGUACUGACGCUGAGGCGCGAAAGCGUGGGGAGCAAACAGG
RNAcentral lists this ribosomal RNA (253 nucleotides) under uncultured bacterium. Its description in RNAcentral is "partial 16S ribosomal RNA". It matches the Rfam family "Bacterial small subunit ribosomal RNA", at positions 524 to 776 of the family's 1533-position model. The record is from RNAcentral.